Molecule: long non-coding RNA, 263 nt
Filed under: Homo sapiens (human)
Lineage: Eukaryota; Metazoa; Chordata; Mammalia; Primates; Hominidae
Description: non-protein coding lnc-AGXT2-1:3
Source: RNAcentral
UGAAAGCUAUUCAUUUCCGAGAACAUGCCACGUGUUUCGCAACUAAAAAUGGUAUCAAAGUAACAGUGGAAAAUGCAAAGUGUGUGCAAGCAAAUGCUUUUAUUCAGGGGCAUGGUAUGGUGGCUCACACCUGUAUUUCCAGCUGCUCAGGAGACCGAGGCUGAAGCACGAAGAUCGCUUGAGCUCAGGCAUUAAAGACCAGCCUGGGUAAUCAUAGUGAGACCCCCGUAUCAAUAAAAAAUCAUAAUAAAAGUUGAAACUAA